Molecule: ribosomal RNA, 652 nt
Filed under: uncultured bacterium
Lineage: Bacteria
Description: bacterial SSU rRNA
Rfam family: Bacterial small subunit ribosomal RNA
Source: RNAcentral
CGGGCUAAACCCGCGUACAUGCCACCGGGGCAUCCCGGAGGCAGGAAAGGCUUCGGCCGGACAGGGAUGGGCAUGCGGCGCAUUAGGCAGUAGGCGGGGUAACGGCCCACCUAACCGACGAUGCGUAGGGGUUCUGAGAGGAAGGUCCCCCACACUGGUACUGAGACACGGACCAGACUCCUACGGGAGGCAGCAGUGAGGAAUAUUGGUCAAUGGUCGGGAGACUGAACCAGCCAAGCCGCGUGAGGGAGGAAGGUACAGAGUAUCGUAAACCUCUUUUGUCAGGGAACAGAGACUGGGACGCGUCCCCGGAUGAGUGUACCUGAAGAAAAAGCAUCGGCUAACUCCGUGCCAGCAGCCGCGGUAAUACGGAGGAUGCGAGCGUUAUCCGGAUUUAUUGGGUUUAAAGGGUGCGCAGGCGGUCUGUUAAGUCAGCGGUCAAAGCCCGGGGCUCAACCCCGGCCCGCCGUUGAAACUGGCAGUCUCGAGUUGGAGAGAAGUAUGCGGAAUGCGCGGUGUAGCGGUGAAAUGCAUAGAUAUCGCGCAGAACUCCGAUUGCGAAGGCAGCAUGCCGGCUCCACACUGACGCUGAGGCACGAAAGCGUGGGUAUCGAACAGGAUUAGAUACCCUGGUAGUCCACGCAGUAAACGA